Molecule: long non-coding RNA, 1048 nt
Organism: Penaeus monodon (black tiger shrimp)
Lineage: Eukaryota; Metazoa; Arthropoda; Malacostraca; Decapoda; Penaeidae
Exons: 3
Source: RefSeq, a predicted model, not a curated record
UUAGCCUUGACUCUUCCGUGUAUGGGAAAGCCGCAUGACGAUUGACAGAAUAAAAAGAAUGUUACAAAAAUAGUGGGCAAACUAGCCCAGAUCUUGAAGAAAUUAAAGCGCGCGCGAGCGAGUCCAGGCGCCGCAGCCGCCUUGUCGCACAGAUAUCAAUCAAAACAAGAAAAUAUUAUAACACGCCGAGCGCAGCACUGUUUAGACAUCACUCCACACCAGACACAACACUGCCAGAAUAUUCUAGAAGGUGAUGCUUGCCAGCUGAGACGAGAUGACAAACAACAGCGCGAACAGAUAAAGCGCCAUGACCGACAACCGAAAGGCAAAGAGAAACAUGCAAGAGAAAACCUAAUGUAACCCAGUGAAACUUUCCUGCAUGAGAGCGACGUCCCAACCGCCCUGUCUGUAGAGGAACGGGCAACACCGCCAUGCAACGGUCAUGCAUGCACACUUUCUGCAUCUGCCCACCAGCACCUAUCACGUCCAGUCAUGGCUGUAAGGAAUGAGAGUUUACUCGAUAAUCGGUUGUCGUCAUGAGCGGGAGGGCAGUGAGAAUAAAGAGAAUAUGAUAUAUAAUUGUGGAUAGUGGUGGAGCAAGCAACACGGCGGACAGCGGGCCCCGGCAAGCAUCAUGCACCGCGUACGCCGACGACAAAACUGAGAAUAUAUCUCUUUUCAAACUGCUUUUGCAAGACUGUCCCCUCGGCGCGCUUUUGCCUCCCUGCUUGCGGCCGUGAUCGCCUCGUGAGCAGCGGAGGCCCUCGGAGCCGCUGCCUCGCCCCGGACCGCCCAAAUCGCCUCCAAGUCUCCGCGGGUUGCCAUGUUGUCUGUGUCAUGCACCCGACCUGGCCGUCCGUCUCGCCUCGACAGGAACGAGUCAUUUGACUUUGUGCCAGUCACUGCUCCUCUCCGUGCCCGCUUGGAUAAAAAAAAAAGAUACGUCCGUCGUCAUCGUCUUUGUGUCGCCAUCUUGAAAAAGUUGUCAUCUCUUACCUGGAAUCGGAAGAAAAAUUACGUUAGAUAAAAACAGGACAAGGUGAGAUAA